RNAcentral lists this ribosomal RNA (433 nucleotides) under uncultured bacterium. Its description in RNAcentral is "partial 16S ribosomal RNA". It matches the Rfam family "Bacterial small subunit ribosomal RNA", at positions 29 to 507 of the family's 1533-position model. The record is from RNAcentral.
AACGAACGCUGGCGGCAUGCCUAACACAUGCAAGUCGAACGAGACCUUCGGGUCUAGUGGCGCACGGGUGCGUAACGCGUGGGAACCUGCCCUUAGGUUCGGAAUAACUCCCCGAAAGGGGUGCUAAUACCGGAUAAUGUCUUCGGACCAAAGAUUUAUCGCCUUUGGUUGGGCCCGCGUUGGAUUAGCUAGUUGGUAGGGUAAAAGCCUACCAAGGCGACGAUCCAUAGCUGGUCUGAGAGGAUGAUCAGCCACACUGGGACUGAGACACGGCCCAGACUCCUACGGGAGGCAGCAGUGGGGAAUAUUGGACAAUGGGCGAAAGCCUGAUCCAGCCAUGCCGCGUGAGUGAUGAAGGCCUUAGGGUUGUAAAGCUCUUUUACCCGGGAUGAUAAUGACAGUACCGGGAGAAUAAGCUCCGGCCAACUCCGUG